Molecule: transfer RNA, 66 nt
Filed under: Viannamyia furcata
Lineage: Eukaryota; Metazoa; Arthropoda; Insecta; Diptera; Psychodidae
Description: tRNA-Phe
Source: RNAcentral
AUUUAAAUAGCUUAAAUAAGAGCAUAAUAGUGAAGUUAUUAUGGUGAUUUUUAUAAUCUUUAAAUA